UUAUAUUAGAGUUUGAUCCUAGCUCAGGAUGAACGCUGGCGGCGUGGGUAAGGCAUGCAAGUCGAACGCCUCUCACCAAUUUUGAGCUUUAGAAAUUUCUAGAGAACAAAAUUGGUGAGGGGAGUGGCGAACGAGGUAGUAAUAAGCAGGUACGAACCGAGAAGUCAGGAAUAGUCCGCCGAAAGGCGGGUUAAUACUUGAUAGUCCCUACGGGGUAAAGAUUUAUCGCUUCUUGAUCGGCCUGCUCGAUAUCAGCUAGUUGGUAGGGUAAUGGCCUACCAAGGCUAUGACGUCUAGGGGAGCUGAGAGGCUGACCCCCACCGAUGGAACUGAGACACGGUCCAUACACCUACGGGUGGCCGCAGUCGAGAAUCUUCCGCAAUGGGCGAAAGCCUGACGGAGCGACGCCGCGUGAUUGAUGAAGUCCUUAGGGAUGUAAAAAUCUUUUAUGAGGGAGGAAGUUUAUUGACGUUACCUCAUGAAUAAGGGGUUGCAAAACUCGUGCCAGCAGCAGCGGUAAUACGAGUGCCCCGAGCGUUAUCCGGAAUCAUUGGGCGUAAAGGAUGUGCAGGCGGUUUUGUUAGUCUUUUGUUAAGUCUCUCGGCUUAACCGGGAAAAUGCAAAGGAAACGGCAAGACUUGAGGGUGCGAGGGGUCUAUGGAACUCAUGGUGUAGGGGUGAAAUCUGUUGAUAUCAUGGGGAACACCAAAAGCGAAGGCAAUAGACUGGAGCAUUCCUGACGCUGAAACAUGAAAGCGUGGGUAGCGAAUGGGAUUAGAUACCCCAGUAGUCCACGCCCUAAACUAUCUUCUCUGGCUUUUCGGAGUAUCGACCCUCUGAGAGGCGAAGCUAACGCGUUAAGAGAAGCGCCUGGGUAGUACGGCCGCAAGGCUAAAACUCAAAGGAAUAGACGGGGACUUGCACAAGCGGUGGAUCAUGUGGUUUAAUUCGAUGGUAAACGAAGAACCUUACCAGGGUUAGAAAUCUAAUCGAAGGCCGGCGGAAACGUCAGCCGUCUCACAAGGACGGUUAGACAGGUGAUGCAUGGCCGUCGUCAGUUCGUGGUUUGAAUUGUUCCCUUAAGUGGGGUAACGAACGCAACCCUCGUUGCCUGUUAUAAGUGUCAGGCGAGACUGCUCCCCCACCAGUUUUUGAAAUUAAUCAAACUUGUUUAAUUUUAGAAAUUGCGCGAACGGUUUUGGACAAAGAUAGAAAUUGUUCGAAAACUGGUGGGGGAGAGGAAGGCGAGGAUGACGCCAGGUCAGCAUGUCCCUCUGAUACCCUGGGCUACACACGUGAUACAAUGGCCGUUACAACGGGACGCAAUGCCGAAAGGCGGAGCAAAUCCUUAUAAAAGCGGCCCAAGUUCGGAUUGAGGUCUGCAACUCGACCUCAUGAAGCUGGAAUCGCUAGUAAUCACAGGUCAGCUAUACUGUGGUGAAUACGUUCUCAAGUCUUGUACUCACCGCCCGUCAACUCAAGGGAGUCGGAAGUACCCGAAGUUCGCCCUCGCGGCGACCUACGGUAAGUUCGAUGACAGGGAGUAAGUCGUCAUUGCACAAUGCAAAUUGCGACCUGUCAAGGCAACUU
RNAcentral lists this ribosomal RNA (1590 nucleotides) under Patescibacteria group bacterium. RNAcentral's name for it is "bacterial SSU rRNA". It matches the Rfam family "Bacterial small subunit ribosomal RNA". The record is from RNAcentral.